RNAcentral lists this ribosomal RNA (374 nucleotides) under uncultured bacterium. Its description in RNAcentral is "bacterial SSU rRNA". It matches the Rfam family "Bacterial small subunit ribosomal RNA", at positions 524 to 898 of the family's 1533-position model. The record is from RNAcentral.
UACGUAGGGGGCGAGCGUUGUCCGGAAUUACUGGGCGUAAAGGGUGCGUAGGCGGUUAUCUAAGUUGGAUGUGAAAUACCCGGGCUUAACCUGGGGGGUGCAUUCAAUACUGGGUGACUAGAGUACAGGAGAGGGAAGCGGAAUUCCUAGUGUAGCGGUGAAAUGCGUAGAUAUUAGGAGGAACACCAGUGGCGAAGGCGGCUUUCUGGACUGUAACUGACGCUGAGGCACGAAAGCGUGGGGAGCAAACAGGAUUAGAUACCCUGGUAGUCCACGCUGUAAACGAUGGAUACUAGGUGUAGGGGACGAACGUCCUCUGUGCCGCAGCAAACGCAGUAAGUAUCCCGCCUGGGGAGUACGACCGCAAGGUUGAA